Molecule: long non-coding RNA, 507 nt
Organism: Alexandromys fortis (reed vole)
Lineage: Eukaryota; Metazoa; Chordata; Mammalia; Rodentia; Cricetidae
Exons: 2
Source: RefSeq, a predicted model, not a curated record
CAAGGUGACACUAUCUGUACCUCACUACUUCCCUGCUUCUCUGGUACAGAGACCACCUGAGGAAGACCCCACGGGAGAAACAUAUGCCCAGGUGAAACCCUCCAGGCACAGGAGGGCAGAAGCUGUCCUACCUUCUGUCCUGUCAGGAGAAGUCCUGGAAACAAAAGAUGGAAACAAAACAGAAGAGGGCAGAGAGAUAGACACUCAGGCUGCUGAUUCAGAGGAGCCCCAAGAUGUGGUCUAUGCCCAGCUGUGUAGCAGGUCGCUCAGACAGGGGACAGCUGUACCUCCCCGCUCCCAGGCAGGGGAAGCCACGGAGGAACCCAGUGUAUAUGCUGCCCUGGCAGUCACUCGACCAGGUUCUGUUCCCGAUGACAAGGAGCAAUGACCUCGCCUGCCAAGAGUUCUAACAGAGACCUCCAGAAAUUCUGGGAACCCUUGCAAAUCUGGCUGUACUAUAACUAACAUCAUACAUUCUAGAAAUAAAAUAGAUUUUUUAAUAAUCAA